Molecule: ribosomal RNA, 465 nt
Filed under: uncultured Klebsiella sp.
Lineage: Bacteria; Pseudomonadati; Pseudomonadota; Gammaproteobacteria; Enterobacterales; Enterobacteriaceae
Description: bacterial SSU rRNA
Rfam family: Bacterial small subunit ribosomal RNA
Source: RNAcentral
CCUACGGGAGGCAGCAGUGGGGAAUAUUGCACAAUGGGCGCAAGCCUGAUGCAGCCAUGCCGCGUGUGUGAAGAAGGCCUUCGGGUUGUAAAGCACUUUCAGCGGGGAGGAAGGCGGUGAGGUUAAUAACCUAAUAGAUUGACGUUACCCGCAGAAGAAGCACCGGCUAACUCCGUGCCAGCAGCCGCGGUAAUACGGAGGGUGCAAGCGUUAAUCGGAAUUACUGGGCGUAAAGCGCACGCAGGCGGUCUGUCAAGUCGGAUGUGAAAUCCCCGGGCUCAACCUGGGAACUGCAUUCGAAACUGGCAGGCUAGAGUCUUGUAGAGGGGGGUAGAAUUCCAGGUGUAGCGGUGAAAUGCGUAGAGAUCUGGAGGAAUACCGGUGGCGAAGGCGGCCCCCUGGACAAAGACUGACGCUCAGGUGCGAAAGCGUGGGGAGCAAACAGGAUUAGAUACCCCGGUAGUC